GAUGAAGAACGCAGUGAAAUGCGAUAAGUAAUGUGAAUUGCAGAAUUCAGUGAAUCAUCGAAUCUUUGAACGCACAUUGCGCCCGCCAGUAUUCUGGCGGGCAUGCCUGUCCGAGCGUCAUUUCAACCAUCAAGCCCCGGGCUUGUGUUGGGGACCUGCGUCCGACGCAGGCCCCGAAAACCAGUGGCGGGCUCGCUGUCCACACCGAGCGUAGUAGCUAACCUCGCUCCGGAGUGGCGCGGGCGCCUGCCGUAAAACCCCCCCAAUUUUACAAGGUUGACCUCGGAUCAGGUAGGAAUACCCGCUGAACUUAAGCAUAUCAAUAAGCGGAGGA
RNAcentral lists this unclassified non-coding RNA (334 nucleotides) under soil metagenome. Its description in RNAcentral is "partial contains 5.8S ribosomal RNA, internal transcribed spacer 2, and large subunit ribosomal RNA". The stretch from base 1 to 120 matches the Rfam family "5.8S ribosomal RNA", at positions 35 to 154 of the family's 154-position model. The record is from RNAcentral.